Paralichthys olivaceus (Japanese flounder) is the source of this 823-nucleotide long non-coding RNA. RefSeq lists it as uncharacterized. The record is from RefSeq and is a predicted model, not a curated record. Lineage: Eukaryota; Metazoa; Chordata; Actinopteri; Pleuronectiformes; Paralichthyidae.
GCAACAUGUAAUUUCAAAACUAGAUAUCACUAAAUUCUACACACUGAACUAUUAAGAGCUCUGGCUGUGUUGCCUGGUUGAGGAAUAUCUUUCUGGUAUCACAACAUUUACUAAUGCACACAUUUAUACUUCUGAUUAUCCUCAUUAUGUGCUUGGUUCAUUAUACACGUUUGCUUUAAAAGGAAAACUAAUCUCUGGCCAAGGUCAAGAGUUUGUGGGGAUAUAACAAUAUCUUUGUGCAUUGCAUGAUAGUGGUGUUUAUAUGGUGUUCAGUGUAUAUAUCACCUCUUUGAUGCUUUUUUAUUUUCUCCCUGUGCACUUCUUACUGCUUAAAACCUAAUUACCUGAGUUUUCCUCUAAUGUGACUUUCAUUUGUUUGCAGAGAGGCUGUGCCCUAUCAUGUGGCUCUGGUAGCCAUACUGUGGAGCUAUGGAGCUGCUGACCUGCUUUGCCUUUUGAGGCGCAAGGCAGAGCCUAAGAGCUGCUGGACAGUUGUGCUGCAGACUGACUGAGGAGCAUGGUGAGCAGCAGGCCUCUAGGGGGCAGCAAAGGCAUUGACAUCCUGCUGGUCUGGAUGAGUGGGUAAGGUCUCAGUCCGCUAGGCUGCUGACAGUCAUCAGUACACAAUGAUUCAGUCAUGUCUGCUCAACUUGAUUAAAGCUGUAGGUAAAGUUUGUUGCAUGAAUUGUUUUUAGAACGCACAGUCUCAUACAUUUAUAGUUAAUCAUAUGGCCAAUAUGGAAUGUAGAACCUGUGGUUUUUGUUUAACUGCAUCCUAUAUUAUGUACUGAUGUUGGAAUAAAGUAUGUUGCUCCACCUCAAA